GAUGAUGAUGAUGAUGAUGAUGAUGUAAGUGCUAUGAUGAUGAUGAGAAUGUCAAGUUAUUGCAUGAUGUCCGCUGCUGUUCGGACUCGGGGCCAGAACACUGGAAUGAGCAGCGUAUUGGAGCUUUUACUUGCUCGGUGGGCCAGCAAAUAAAAUCCCCUCUGUUAACAGGACGAAGCUGAAUUACCUACUGGCACUGCGAUUUGUGGACGUGACACAUCAAGUUAUCGUUAUUAUAAAAUAUGACCAGAUUCUCAAAAUGAGUGCAAUCUUCAUUCUUCUGACCUCGGAGGACCAUUAAGCCGUCCUCAUUCAACAUAAUUACUCAUUAUGGAUGUUACAAAACCAACACAGGGCAGAGUUAUGUAAAAUCUUAACUACUCCAUUUCAUCUUUUGCUUGCAGUCAAAAUACUGCAGACAAUCACGUCAGUAUUACAGCCCCAUAAAUCCACAUAUGCCUUUCUUAAUCAGACAAUCUAAACACAUGAAAGUAAUAACUGUGUGUAGAAACAGAAGCAGAACCAACAUGCAAUGAAAUAUGAUCCUCCUGGGGUUUGUUUUAUAAUGAGGAAACUGUCUGGGUGAUUAAGCAUGUAGACAUUGUACAUGUCAAAAGUCUAAUUGGGAAGCUGAAGUGAACUGAAUUAUUUUUUUUGUUAAAUAAAUAAAUAAAUAAAUAAAUAAAUAAAUAAAUAAGUCCACUUGCAUCUCGUUAAUUCCGUGCCAACGUACCUGAUCCAUCAAAGGACAAUUGCAUCUUCUACAUUUUUAAAAAUCUAUUCGGUCCAUCAGUGCUCAUCAUUUCAGGAGGUGCAUGUCAUGUCAAUCAUGAUGCAUCAGUGCAACACAACAAAGCACCAUCAUGGCAUGAGAUCUGGCGCCUGAGUGCCCGUUUGAGACCGGCCUAUAAGUUUGAGUGAUGGAAAUCUGACCUUAGACAUACUUUAAUGCACAUCUGGCUCAUAUUUUCACAGCGUGGUGCAAUGCUAAGGUAUACGCAUACCAUGUGCUCAAAAAGGCACUCGUUCCAAACAAAAGAAAGGAAGCAAGUGAAAGAGAGAGAGAGAGAGAGAGAGAGAGAGAGAGAGAGAGAGUGUGCGCUCUGUAGCCAUCUGGUAGCCAUCAGUAAAAGCAGAGGAAGCGAUCUCCACGCUGCUCUCGGACACCAGAGAGCGUCUGCUUUCUGAUGAACGGCUAUACGGGAGAAACAAAAGGACUGAGAUAGAAUGGGGACGAGAGAGAGAGAGGGGGGAAAAGAAAAAAAAGAAAAAAAAAAAAAAAAAGACCCUGGUAGGUUCACAUUCCUGCCCUCUCCAGCAUGCUGCAUGCUGGGAAACGCUAUAGAAAAUGACACGUGUGACCGCAAGGAAGAAAUUUGGAAAACUGAAUUAAUACCACAUACAGAGCUCUAUAACUGCUGACGUGUUGAACAGGACGUGUGCAUCCUUACUACAUUAUGAUCUACGUCUAGACCUGAACGUUUUACUACGGUCCAAAAACGAGAAUGUCUCGUGUGAUAGACAGUAAUUCUGCCAAGGUGCCAUCAUUACUAACUGAUAUAUAAAUCCAGAAAAACAACAACAACAACAACAACAACAACUGGGAAUCAAUUAAAAAGAUCACCAGACAUCAGCGAUGUUGAAUAACGUGAUCACGAUCGACUCGAAAUGAGGACAAUACAAAAAAUAUAUCUGUGAAGAAAUAUCGCAAUAAUGAAAAAAAAAAGGAAGAAGAGAAAGCGGAGACCCCGCCCCCCCCCAAGUCCACGGUUCUCUUUCACCUUAUCACGGUUUGGGAACGAGCGUGGCUGAGCAAAUAUCCCAGCACAUAAAAGAACACAUCUGUUUACAAACUGCAGCAGGGAGACCUUUUAACCAGAUGACAAAUCUGCAAACAGGCACUGUGUAUUCAAGGAGGAACUGACUCUUCCUGUAAGAUACCCUGGAUGUGCUUUCAGAAAUGAUGCAAGUUCACAAUCUGAUCAGCGCACUGACGCCGAUAUCGUGCCUUAACUCAUAUUUGUUAACAAAAGCUCCGAUAACAUGCGACACCGCGUUGCCGGGUUCUGGAUGCGUUUCAGGAACAAUAAAUCAAUGCAAUGCAGAUUGCAAACCGCUCUGUGGGAAAAUCACACAGAGGAACUACAACAUCUUCCUACAACACAGGUAUCUUUUAUAGAGAGGGGGCGCGGGUGGCCUGCCUGAAGCAGUAUCGUCGAGAGCGUACUAGGCUUCCCAGAU
Ictalurus punctatus (channel catfish) is the source of this 2241-nucleotide long non-coding RNA. NCBI's taxonomy places the organism in Eukaryota, Metazoa, Chordata, Actinopteri, Siluriformes, Ictaluridae. The record is from Ensembl.